AUUGAACGCUGGCGGAAUGCUUUACACAUGCAAGUCGAACGGCAGCACGGACUUCGGUCUGGUGGCGAGUGGCGAACGGGUGAGUAAUACAUCGGAACGUGCCCAGUCGUGGGGGAUAACGUAGCGAAAGCUACGCUAAUACCGCAUACGAUCUAAGGAUGAAGGCGGGGGAUCGCAAGACCUCGCGCGAUUGGAGCGGCCGAUGGCAGAUUAGGUAGUUGGUGGGGUAAAGGCCUACCUAGCCGACGAUCUGUAGCUGGUCUGAGAGGACGGCCAGCCACACUGGAACUGAGACACGGCCCAGACUCCGACGGGAGGCAGCAGUGGGGAAUUUUGGACAAUGGGCGCAAGCCUGAUCCAGCAAUGCCGCGUGCAGGAUGAAGGCCUUCGGGUUGUAAACUGCUUUUGUACGGAACGAAAAGGCUCUGGUUAAUACCUAGGGUUCAUGACAGUACCGUAAGAAUAAGCACCGGCUAACUACGUGCCAGCCGCCGCCGUAA
This 500-nucleotide ribosomal RNA is filed under the name uncultured bacterium. Its description in RNAcentral is "partial 16S ribosomal RNA". It matches the Rfam family "Bacterial small subunit ribosomal RNA", at positions 30 to 523 of the family's 1533-position model. The record is from RNAcentral.